Molecule: long non-coding RNA, 424 nt
Organism: Ostrinia nubilalis (European corn borer)
Lineage: Eukaryota; Metazoa; Arthropoda; Insecta; Lepidoptera; Crambidae
Exons: 3
Source: RefSeq, a predicted model, not a curated record
CCUAAUUUUGACAAUCAACGUCGUUUCGUUGUCGUUGAAAUCAUCGAAUGUUGUGUCACUGUCAAUUUUGUUGUGAGAAGGUUACGUUGAUAAAAAUUUUACGUGUUUUUGAGGCUUAAAUGUGGAGAUUAUGUGGUCGGCGAAUUUAUUUCCUUGUUUGGCAUCAUUUAGAUUGUUUAGAUGCUUUAAGUUAUGAGAUUAGGAAGCAUCCCAACACGAUACCGCCUCAAAGUCAAUAAACCUGCAUUUUAGUAGAUACCUACUUAUGUGACAAAUUGCCGGAAAGAUAGUCUUAUGGCAACAAAAAGAGUGUCCUUGGAACACAAGGUUAUAUUAUGUGCUAUGCAUUAAGAUGCAUCCAGUUCAUACCAAGGCACUGAUGGUAUGAAGAAGCAUUUGGAAUUACUUAACCAAUGCUCUCAAU